Molecule: non-coding RNA, 5389 nt
Organism: Ictidomys tridecemlineatus (thirteen-lined ground squirrel)
Lineage: Eukaryota; Metazoa; Chordata; Mammalia; Rodentia; Sciuridae
Source: RefSeq, a predicted model, not a curated record
AAAAAGGAGUCUAUUUCUUAAGGAAAGAUAACCAUGCUUCUAUUCAGCAAGUUCUAUUUUGGCAACUGCUUGGAGAGUCUUAUAAGUGUUAAAGCAAGUUAAUUUCCCCUUUCACUCUUCUAAGUGAUUAAUUCCUGGGAACUAGAGUUAGGCAUUCCAGUUCGUGACAUUUUAAACACACCUACACAUAGACACAGUACAAAGUGCACAUUUCAGAGGGGAUUUUUAUGACUAUGUUAGGAUCUGUCUUAGAAAUCCAUAUCAAGCACUUGGGUGGGGUAGAGUGUGAUUACAGUUUAGAUUUAAAAAGGAAAUGAAAAGAAUAGGGGAAAAAAGAGAGAGAACCCACUGACAGCUUAAACUGAAAGACUCGGUUCAGACCCGGCAGCCCAAAGUUUGGGUGUUUACCUUAAGUUGCUUCACCUUUCCUCCGCCUGCCCCUUCUUCCAGGGAGGAAGCCAGGGUUCAUGGUUGCUCUGAAGCCGGAAUAAAACAGCCCCUUGUGCUUCCUGCCUGUUCCAAUCCAGACCGCGAUGAGGCCCAAAUGAGCCUUUUCUUCUCUUUGUCCUUGUCAGCAAGAGUCUGAUAAUUUCCUGUCGAUUCCCUCAUCAAAGGCACCAGGCUCUCAUCUCUUUGAUGCAUCUCUCCUCAGACUCUGAAGAUAGCCAGACCCCGUUGAGAAACCCCUUGUUUCCACUUAGAAGCUCCAGGCUUGGACCUUCUCAAAAACUUCCUGUUCUCCUUUGUUCGUGUUGGAAAAAAAAUGAGACCAGAUCCAAGCAGGGAGUGGAUUUCCUCAAACUGCAGUGGGCUCCAACUGUGCCUUCCCCAGGCAGAGGGAGAACAGGGAGAGAGAUGCCUGGGAAUACCAUUUCUGAAUCAGCACUCCAGGUAGAAACUUCCACUGUUGGAAAGUUAGGGGAAAAAAGGGAGAAGACCUCACACUUUUGAUCUGUGUCUGAUUCCUGGCUCUGUCACUUACUAGCUGUAUGGUUUGGGGUAAUAUUUAUAUUUCUGUGAUCGGGGGUUUGCAAAUCUGUAAAAUGGGAAUUGUUAUCUGUGUCAACAUUGUUGUAGAGAUUCAGUGUCCCCCCCCAUACCUAAAACAAUAAGUUCUGUGCUAGAAACAGGCUCAAUGAAUUAAAAGAAUGAUAAUAACAAUGAUUAAUUAUGAGAUCUGAAUUCUACACCUAAAAAUGACCUGAGCAAGAAAGAAGUUGUGUUGAAAUUUUGAAUUAUAAUAAUUAUGGAUAUUAAUAUUUUCUUAAAUGUAACUAGUAUUAAAAAUUCCGGUCAAAAUAUUUUGACAGUUAAAAAGUUACUUACAUUCUAAGGAUUGUUUUGGUCUUAUAGGAUUAGCUGUGCCUCUCUUGAGGAAAGGCCCUGAGUUCAUGUCUUAGAUCUGACACAAAUGCAUUGAGGCAUCUUGGGUAAGUCAUUCCCUUUGCUCUGAUCUUCAGGUACCCUCCUUGUAAUGAGAGCUUGCCCAAGAUGAGCUUUGGAGAGGUUCCUUCCAGAGCUGAAAUUCUCAAGUCUUCUACUCAGUAAAAUCAAAGCAUCUUGUAAUUCCCCUUUCUGCCACUAGGAGCAAUCAGCCAAUAGUCUCAGGUUGAUAAGACCUGGCUUUCAGAACUUCUGUCUGAAUCACAUGCUUUUCAACCCUAAACAUUUGUCAUCCAGAUGCUGAGAAGCUGCCGCAUGAGCUGACAUUGUCUACCUUGCUCAUCUUCCAGUCUCCACCUUGACAACACAAGUCCCACUUACCUUUCUGCUAUUGUUCAAACGAAGAGCUGCUUCAGGGCUCCAUGAGAACAGACCACCUUAUGCACAUGGUGCAUAUACACCUCAAAAAGAUCAUCUGCAGAUGAAUGAAGAAAAUGUGGCAUAUAGGCCCAAUGGAGUACUAUUCAACCAUAAAGAAGAAUGAAAUCAUGUCAUCUUCAAGAAAAUGCAUAGAAUUGGAGGCCAUUGUUCUAAGGGAAACAAGGUAGAAGUACACAUUAUGGGUUGCAGUAUCUAGAAAAAGGCUCUCUGGAGAGUCCUUGCAGGAUAACUUAAAACUUUGAAGAAUACAGUGGACUCCAAUGUCUGUUCUUCAGCUUUGCAAGUCCAAGAAUUCAGUCUUGUCUGAGCUUCAGAAAUGGUGAUUGAUUCAAGCAUUGAUCAUGUUUUCCUAACACUUGAGUUGUCUGAGUGUUGAGAGGAGGCCAUCUGGACAGAAGCUUAUUGUCUCAACACUUUGGGGGUCAUGAAGACAAUUUUUCCUGAGAGGGGCCCAGUGUGUAUUUUAAGGUGCUACGGCUCCAGGAAGUUCUUUUUGCUUUGAUUGAGUACUUUGAUCAGUUGGAGAUUGAAACACUGGGAUUCAGAGUCAAAGUAGAGCUACACUGCAAAAGUCAGGGUAUUCUACUCCUCAACUUCAUGGGGUGCCAUUAACAUCAAAUCUGGGAAGUGAUUAUGGAAAUUAUUCCUCAUAAUGAUCCAAGUCACUAAAAGAAUUAAAAGGAAACUAUAUAGAAGUCGCAGAUGGUGGAGACAUGUUUACUGUCUUUUUACUGGAGAAUCAACUUCUAUUCACUCCUCAUAAGAAAGUAAAUAUGUGGAUGAAGUUGGUCACCAAGAGAAUUCUAAAUCUGCGUUUUAGAUAACAACACAAGGAUGUUAAAUCAUGCAACGUAAACUCUCUUCCCCCAGAGUGGUUUUUUGGGGAACCCCUUAAAAUUUAUUACUGAGUGAGCCAUCUCUUCGGUUCUGGGUCUGUUGCUCAAUCCCUGCCCAAAUCCAAAUGGAAUGGAAGACAAAAUUCAUUUUGUCUUGAAAUGAGCUUCUGCCUAAAGCCAAGGUGAAGAGAAAUUACCACAGCCAUGUCAGAACAGCAUUUUUCACAACAGCUAAAAGAUGGAAGGAAUAAAGGUCCACCAAUGGAUAAACAAAAUAUGGUAUUCACAUACAAAGGAAUAUUAUUCAGUCUUAAAAUGGAAGAAAAUUCUGACUAAUGUUACAACAUGAAUCAACUUUGAGAACAUUAUGGUAAAUGAAAUAAGCCCAUCACAGAAAGACAAAGGCUGCAUCAUUCCAUGUCUAGAAGAUAUCAAACACAGCCAAACUCACGGCAAUCAAGAGUUAGAGUGGCAGUUUCUAGGGAUUAGAGGAAGGGGAAAUAUAGAACUUCUGAAUAAAUAUAAAAUUGUAGUUUUGCAAGAUAAACACGUGUGAGAGAUGGUUUUCACGACAAUCUGAAUAUAUUUAACUCUACAUAUCUGCAUACUUAAAAAUGGUUAAGAUGAAUAAGUCCUAUGUGUUCUAUUUAUAUAUAAUCACAAUUAAUUUUUUUAAUUAAAAUUGUUUAAAAAUGGCAAAGGUCAGGUGCAGAGAUGCACAUUACCAACAACAGAACUGGAGAGUGGGAUGAAAUCCAAACACCCCAGAAGGGUGGGAGAGAAGACAGACUUGGGGAGUGGGCUGUGUACAUUCCAGCCUCUGGGCUCCUACCUGUCAUUGAAACCAGCUACACCGGAAAUGGAGCUGAAACAUGCUCAUUCGACUUCAGAAGCCUUUUCUGGCUCUCCUUCUUCUCCUUUGGCUACUUUCUAGGGAAAGAAAUGUCUUUAAAAGUAAGAUAUAUUUUUAUUAGAGAUCCUGUCUGUUAAUGUAUACCUUCAGAGUGCUGAUGGACUGGCCAAGACGUGCAGCACAUUUUGGAUGCUUUUAUAGGAAAGCUAAGACUUAUUUUUCUAAUAACUCUUUCAUCUGCACAUCUAGUUUUUCCAUUAGGAAAACGAAAAUAGCUUCUGGAAUUGCUUUUUUUUCCCCCUGCCACAAUAACAGACACCGCUGAGAGCUAGUCACUCUGGGACAUAUGUGGAAUAUGAUAGUGGUACUAUGAGAAUAGUCUCUCUUUACUCCACACCCUUUGGGCAGAAGGACAUUUUGUGACAUCUCCUUCACAGUUCCGGGUCAGAGAACAUCUUCCCUUGUGUGAGCGGAACGGAGAUAAUUUAUAACAUAUGCUGAGAUAAUGGACUGUGAUCUCUUUGAGGACAGAUAGCAUCUAUAAAUACUUUCAAUAACUCAAAAGAAUCUUGGACAUUUUUUUAAUGGUUUCUUUCCCUGAGACAUACUUGGUGAUUCUUUGUUGUUGGUGGGGAAGAAGGGGUGAAGAAUAAAUAUGAGUCAGGGUAGAGAUGAGAUUAAGCUGUACUAAUAAACAUCCCCCAAAUCCAUGCAUCUUAAAAAAAUGGGGGCGCAUUGUUCUUUCAUGCUACAUGUCCACUGAAGAUUGACGAUGGCUGUGCAUCCUGAUAUUGUCACAUGCGAUCCAUGCUAAUAGGGCAAUCUUUCUUUGGUCACUGUAACCAAGAGUACAAAAAGGUACAAAGAUCCAAGUUAUUUCUGGUCAGAAGUAGCACACCACUUUGUCCACAUUGCCUUGGGCCUAGCGAUUUUCAUGGCCUCCAAAUUCAACAGGAUAGGGUUGUAUGAUCAUCUUUCAGGGAGAACCCCCCCCCCAAAAAAAAAAUACAAUGAACUGAAAUAGUACAGAGGAAUAUACUCGACAGGUGGUUGAAGAGAUGGAGAGAGAGCAACUACCCCUCUCAUUAUUCGGGAACUUUAUAUACUCUUCUCAUUCAUUUGUCAUUCAGUCUUAACUACAGUAGGGGGGACACAUGUUGCUCUAUUUUUUUUGGGGGGGGGUAAAGUGGCUGACUUCAGACUGAUUCAGGAAGCUGCCUGAGGCCACAGAGUUAGUGUGUUUUAGAGAUGGAGUUUGCCUGUACCAGCGACUAACUCAGUAUCUAUGCUUUUCCCAAGCAACAGUGACUAUAACACUCAUGUGUGGACAAAAUAAAACCUAAAACACUUAUUUUGCAGACUGCUUUAUAAUGAAAUAACCCAAUAUAGACACAUGAGUUGGUUAGGCUGAUAGGAAACACAGGGUGAUGAGAUGGAUAGAAAUGAUGAUGUCCUUUCAGGAGUGCAACGGCGGUGGAAAAGCAAGAUUAUUACUCCACAUCAUAUAUUUUCCACAAGAGAAAAAAACGUGUGAGCCUCACUGACCAUCAAAAUUCAGCUGAUCAAACUCCUUUGAGACAAGUAUUUUAAAAAAUCACUAUUUUGGGAACAUAUAGUACUGAAUCACAUACAGAAGUAAAUCAUGUAUUUCCAGAAAUGGCUAGGAGUGAUGCUUUCUUACUCUUUAAUUAUAGUAAAUUCAUUAAUCAUACAAGAAGAACUUAUAAAAGCAAUGUAUUCAUAUCAAAGUCAAAGGCAGGUCAGGGAAAUCCCCCCUUUUGGAAGGUGUAUUAACAAUAUUUGAACCCUUGUUCAGAGAACUCACCACAGUGCCCCUCCCCCAAUUCUGUUUUAACUCUAUGUUAAGGACAUUAUU